This 253-nucleotide ribosomal RNA is filed under the name uncultured bacterium. RNAcentral's name for it is "partial 16S ribosomal RNA". It matches the Rfam family "Bacterial small subunit ribosomal RNA", at positions 524 to 776 of the family's 1533-position model. The record is from RNAcentral.
UACAGAGGUCUCAAGCGUUGUUCGGAUUCAUUGGGCGUAAAGGGUGCGUAGGUGGCGCCGUAAGUCAGGUGUGAAAUUUCGGAGCUUAACUCCGAAACUGCAUUUGAUACUGCGGUGCUUGAGGACUGGAGAGGAGACUGGAAUUCACGGUGUAGCAGUGAAAUGCGUAGAUAUCAAGUGAAACACCAGUGGCGAAGGCGAGUCCCUGGACAACUCCUGACACUGAGGCACGAAAGCUAGGGGAGCAAACAGG